GGGAUUGCCCCAGUAACGGCGAGUGAAGCGGCAGGAGCUCAAAUUUGAAAUCUGGAGCCCCCCGGCCCCCGAGUUGUAAUUUGGAGAGGCAUCUUCGGGGGGGAGCGCCGGCCCAUGUUCCUUGGAACAGGACGUCGCAGAGGGUGAGAAUCCCGUGCCAGGCCGGCUGCCUCCUCCCUAGUGAAGGGCCUUCGACGAGUCGAGUUGUUUGGGAAUGCAGCUCCAAGUGGGUGGUAAAUUUCAUCUAAAGCUAAAUACCGGCGGGAGACCGAUAGCGCACAAGUAGAGUGAUCGAAAGAUGAAAAGCACUUUGAAAAUAGAGUCAAAAAGUACGUGAAAUUGUUGAAAGGGAAGCGCUUGAGACCAGACUCAGACCCGAGCAAACACCGCGCCCCUCGGGGCCGUGCAAUUGCCUGGGGCUGGGCCAGCAUCAGUUGGCGUGGCGGGACAAAGGCGCGGGGAAUGUGGCUCCCCUCGGGGAGUGUUAUUAGGCCCGCGCUCAAUGCCGCCGCCGCCGACUGAGGACCGCGCCUCGGCUAGGAUGCUGGCUUAAUGGCCUUCAGCGACCCGUCUUGAAACACGGACCAAGGAGUCUAACAUCUAUGCGAGUGUUUGGGCGUCAAACCCUUGCGCGGAAUGAAAGUGAGCGGAGGUGGGAACCCCUUCGCAGGGCGCACCAUCGACCGAUCCUGAUGUCUUCGGAUGGAUUUGAGUAGGAGCAUAGCUGUUGGGACCCGAAAGAUGGUGAACUAUGCCUGAAUAGGGUGAAGCCAGAGGAAACUCUGGUGGAGGCUCGCAGCGGUUCUGACGUGCAAAUCGAUCGUCAAAUUUGGGUAUAGGGGCGAAAGACUAAUCGAACCAUCUAGUAGCUGGUUCCUGCCG
RNAcentral lists this ribosomal RNA (882 nucleotides) under Helvella costifera. Its description in RNAcentral is "partial large subunit ribosomal RNA". It matches the Rfam family "Eukaryotic large subunit ribosomal RNA", at positions 71 to 963 of the family's 3401-position model. Lineage: Eukaryota; Fungi; Ascomycota; Pezizomycetes; Pezizales; Helvellaceae. The record is from RNAcentral.